AUUUUUUUUUCUCUGCUCAGGACGAACGCUGGCGGCGUGCCUAAUACAUGCAAGUCGAGCGGACAGAUGGGAGCUUGCUCCCUGAUGUUAGCGGCGGACGGGUGAGUAACACGUGGGUAACCUGCCUGUAAGACUGGGAUAACUCCGGGAAACCGGGGCUAAUACCGGAUGGUUGUUUGAACCGCAUGGUUCAAACAUAAAAGGUGGCUUCGGCUACCACUUACAGAUGGACCCGCGGCGCAUUAGCUAGUUGGUGAGGUAAUGGCUCACCAAGGCAACGAUGCGUAGCCGACCUGAGAGGGUGAUCGGCCACACUGGGACUGAGACACGGCCCAGACUCCUACGGGAGGCAGCAGUAGGGAAUCUUCCGCAAUGGACGAAAGUCUGACGGAGCAACGCCGCGUGAGUGAUGAAGGUUUUCGGAUCGUAAAGCUCUGUUGUUAGGGAAGAACAAGUACCGUUCGAAUAGGGCGGUACCUUGACGGUACCUAACCAGAAAGCCACGGCUAACUACGUGCCAGCAGCCGCGGUAAUACGUAGGUGGCAAGCGUUGUCCGGAAUUAUUGGGCGUAAAGGGCUCGCAGGCGGUUUCUUAAGUCUGAUGUGAAAGCCCCCGGCUCAACCGGGGAGGGUCAUUGGAAACUGGGGAACUUGAGUGCAGAAGAGGAGAGUGGAAUUCCACGUGUAGCGGUGAAAUGCGUAGAGAUGUGGAGGAACACCAGUGGCGAAGGCGACUCUCUGGUCUGUAACUGACGCUGAGAGCGAAAGCGGGAG
Molecule: ribosomal RNA, 774 nt
Filed under: Bacillus subtilis
Lineage: Bacteria; Bacillati; Bacillota; Bacilli; Caryophanales; Bacillaceae
Description: bacterial SSU rRNA
Rfam family: Bacterial small subunit ribosomal RNA
Source: RNAcentral